Molecule: non-coding RNA, 151 nt
Filed under: Nematostella vectensis (starlet sea anemone)
Lineage: Eukaryota; Metazoa; Cnidaria; Anthozoa; Actiniaria; Edwardsiidae
Description: Eukaryotic large subunit ribosomal RNA
Rfam family: Eukaryotic large subunit ribosomal RNA
Source: Rfam by way of RNAcentral
GAGAAUGUAUGGAGGAGGUGUAGAAUAAGUGGGAGUAGCAAUACGUCGGUGAAAUACCACUACUCUUAUCGUUUUUUUACUUAUUCGAUGAAGCGGAAGCGAACCGCAAGGUUCACGUUCUGGAUUUAAGGUCUCUCUUUGCAGACCGAUC